GCUUUCGUCGUUCAAUGGAUAGGACUUCGGCCUCCGGAGCCGACGAUUCGGGUUCGAGUCCCGACGGAAGCGCCA
RNAcentral lists this transfer RNA (75 nucleotides) under Opitutia bacterium. RNAcentral describes it as "tRNA-Arg". It matches the Rfam family "tRNA". Rfam says of the family: Transfer RNA (tRNA) molecules are approximately 80 nucleotides in length. Their secondary structure includes four short double-helical elements and three loops (D, anti-codon, and T loops). Further hydrogen bonds mediate the characteristic L-shaped molecular structure. tRNAs have two regions of fundamental functional importance: the anti-codon, which is responsible for specific mRNA codon recognition, and the 3' end, to which the tRNAs corresponding amino acid is attached (by aminoacyl-tRNA synthetases). tRNAs cope with the degeneracy of the genetic code in two manners: having more than one tRNA (with a specific anti-codon) for a particular amino acid; and 'wobble' base-pairing, i.e. permitting non-standard base-pairing at the 3rd anti-codon position. The record is from RNAcentral. Lineage: Bacteria; Pseudomonadati; Verrucomicrobiota; Opitutia. RNAcentral also lists the same sequence under 1 other name.